UCGAGGAUCUUCGGCAAUGGGCGCAAGCCUGACCGAGCGACGCCGCGUGUGCGAUGAAGGCCUUCGGGUUGUAAAGCACUGUCGAGGGGGAGGAAGCUCCGUAAGGAGUUGACCUAUCCCUGGAGGAAGCACGGGCUAAGUUCGUGCCAGCAGCCGCGGUAAUACAGAGGGUGCGAGCGUUAAUCGGAAUUACUGGGCGUAAAGCGCACGUAGGUGGCGACGUAAGUCGGGUGUGAAAGCCCCGGGCUCAACCUGGGAACCGCAUUCGAGACUGCGUUGCUGGAGUACGGAAGAGGAGGGCGGAAUUCCCGGUGUAGCGGUGAAAUGCGUAGAUAUCGGGAGGAACAUCAGUGGCGAAGGCGGCCCUCUGGUCCAGUACUGACACUCAAGUGCGAAAGCGUGGGGAGCAAACAGGAUUAGAUACCCCAGUAGUCCCUGAGCGGGCUGGCAAGGCGCAU
This 458-nucleotide ribosomal RNA is filed under the name uncultured bacterium. Its description in RNAcentral is "bacterial SSU rRNA". It matches the Rfam family "Bacterial small subunit ribosomal RNA", at positions 355 to 825 of the family's 1533-position model. The record is from RNAcentral.